RNAcentral lists this ribosomal RNA (440 nucleotides) under uncultured bacterium. Its description in RNAcentral is "partial 16S ribosomal RNA". It matches the Rfam family "Bacterial small subunit ribosomal RNA", at positions 338 to 795 of the family's 1533-position model. The record is from RNAcentral.
CCUACGGGUGGCAGCAGUGGGGAAUAUUGCACAAUGGGGGAAACCCUGAUGCAGCGACGCCGCGUGAAGGAAGAAGUAUUUCGGUAUGUAAACUUCUAUCAGCAGGGAAGAAAAUGACGGUACCUGACUAAGAAGCCCCGGCUAACUAGGUGCCAGCAGCCGCGGUAAUACGUGGGGGGCACACGUUAUCCGGAUGUAAUGGGUGUAAAGGGAGCGAAGGGGGUUUAGCAAGGCAGAAGGGAAGGCCCUGGGCUCAACUCCGGAACUGCUUUUGAAACUGUUGAACUAGAGUGCAGGAGAGGUAAGUGGAAUUCCUAGUGUAGCGGUGAAAUGCGUAGAUAUUAGGAGGAACACCAGUGGCGAAGGCGGCUUACUGGACUGUAAAUGACGCUGAGGCUCGAAAGCGUGGGGAGCAAACAGGAUUAGAUACCCGGGUAGUC